Molecule: ribosomal RNA, 253 nt
Filed under: uncultured bacterium
Lineage: Bacteria
Description: partial 16S ribosomal RNA
Rfam family: Bacterial small subunit ribosomal RNA
Source: RNAcentral
UACGUAGGGGGCAAGCGUUGUCCGGAAUCAUUGGGCGUAAAGAGCGUGUAGGCGGCCAGAAAAGUCCGCUGUGAAAACUCGAGGCUCAACUUCGAGCUGUCGGUGGAAACUUUCUGGCUAGAGUCCGGAAGAGGAGAAUGGAAUUCCUGGUGUAGCGGUGAAAUGCGCAGAUAUUAGGAAGAACACCCGUGGCGAAGGCGGUUCUCUGGGACGGUACUGACGCUGAGACGCGAAAGCGUGGGGAGCGAACAGG